Molecule: transfer RNA, 84 nt
Filed under: Bacteroidia bacterium
Lineage: Bacteria; Pseudomonadati; Bacteroidota; Bacteroidia
Also listed under: 1 other name
Description: tRNA-Leu
Rfam family: tRNA
About the family: Transfer RNA (tRNA) molecules are approximately 80 nucleotides in length.
Source: RNAcentral
GCGCGAGUGGCGGAAUUGGUAGACGCGCAGGUCUCAGAAGCCUGUGGGGUAAUACCUGUAGGAGUUCGACUCUCCUCUCGCGCA